RNAcentral lists this non-coding RNA (116 nucleotides) under Heterosigma akashiwo. Lineage: Eukaryota; Raphidophyceae; Chattonellales; Chattonellaceae. The record is from RNAcentral.
UAUGGCACAAUGCAUCAUAGUACAUACAAGGUCAUUUGUUCUUUUCCCCUUUUUCUUUUUUUGCUUCUUCUUGUUUAUAUGUGAUCACAGUCUUCAUUUUUUCAUAAGGGAGGACG